This 271-nucleotide ribosomal RNA is filed under the name uncultured bacterium. RNAcentral describes it as "partial 16S ribosomal RNA". It matches the Rfam family "Bacterial small subunit ribosomal RNA", at positions 793 to 1055 of the family's 1533-position model. The record is from RNAcentral.
GUCCACUCCCUAAACGAUGCAUACUUGGCUGUGGCGGGUUUGACCCCGUCGGAGCCGGAGCAAAAGUGUGAAGUAUGCCGCCUGGGGGAGUACGGUCGCAAGAUUAAAACUCAAAGAAAUUGACGGGGGCUCACACAAGCGGUGGAGCAUGUGGCUUAAUUCGAAGCAACGCGCAGAACCUUACCCGGGUUUGACAUGUACGGAUUAGUGGGAUGAAAGUUCCAUGACGCUCGCAAGAGUGGAACGUACACAGGUGCUGCAUGGCUGUCGU